UAAACACUUCGCUCUGAUGCGAAGUUAAUUCUAGCUAUUAAACUUCAUAUGGUAACUUACAUUAAUUGUGAACUAACUUAGGGUUUAAGUAGACCAUUAAACAUGACUACUACUACCUAAGAAGUAGGACCUAACACAUUCCUAAAGGUUAUACCCACAACACCAAUGACUUAUAUUAUCAUCCAGUUAGGAAACUAAGCCAUAGAAAUAGCCAACAAAAGUGAUUAAAAGCGGUGCCAGCAGUCGCGGUUAGACCCCUACUUUAAGUUAACUAUUACAAGUACUUAAGAGUCAAACUAAUUUUAAUAAGAUCACAAUCGUAAAUAUGAAGGUAAAAUUUAUACCACACUUACACCCAAACAGACCUAAUAAGCAUGACUCAACAAACCACACCACGAAACAGGGAUUAGAUACCCCAUUAUCGAGUGGCCCAACCAACAAAACACUAAAAAUGAAAAUUUAAAAAUUAAAGAGCGUGGCGGUGUUUCACACCACAUUAGGGGAUCCUGUGGCUUAAUCCGAUAACCCACGAAUAUCAAAGCUUUAUUGGUACAUCAGCUUGUGUAUGGCCGUUAAUGUCUCCGCAUAUAAAGCAUUAAAAGAAGACAUCAGAACCUCAAACUCAAUAAAACAGGUGACACACAGCCCAUAUAAAGCAGCUCAUGGGAUACAGAAAACCAUUAUUUCUCCUAAGUAGAGUGAUACCUCUACACUAAAGAAGGACUUAAAAGUAAGACCACAACACUAUUAUGGCCUGAAUAAGAAAUGAAACGCGCACAAAUCGCCCGUCACUCCUGUUAUUAACCCAGGACAAGUCGUAACAUAGUAGGGGUAACGGAAGUUGCCCCUAAUUUCUC
Molecule: non-coding RNA, 857 nt
Filed under: Potamilus streckersoni
Lineage: Eukaryota; Metazoa; Mollusca; Bivalvia; Unionida; Unionidae
Source: RNAcentral